This 2253-nucleotide long non-coding RNA is filed under the name Olea europaea subsp. europaea. The record is from RNAcentral. Lineage: Eukaryota; Viridiplantae; Streptophyta; Magnoliopsida; Lamiales; Oleaceae.
CAAGCAACUAGAAAUCCUGCUAAAAGACACUUCUGUUAAGAGUAACUGGUCAUUCUGAAGAUUUGUUUGUAUUAGUUUACUCCAAUGUCUAGCGAUAUAUAUAACUUGUUCUCAAAUCACUCGAUUUAAAAAAAAAAAAAAAUAAGAGAGAGAAAAAAAAAAAAAGAUUCUUGUAAAUAUUGCACUGUAAACAAACACUACCAAGGGGCCUCAAAUACUCAAUUUCCUCUGGAGAUCAUUUAUGUAAACACUUGAAUCCAAUUUAAACAAAAAUGUUCUACAUACAACAAAACGUUCUACCACACUCCUUCAAGGGGUCUCGUUGAUAUAUGAGAGAAUCUCUACUACUACGUUAGUGAUGAAUGACUAAUAAUAAUACAUAAUCCAGUAUAAAUCAAGCCAACAACACGGGAAACAGCAGCUAAAUAUCCCCUCCAUGACAUUCCCACAUCAACAGCCACCAUGUAGCCCGAACAACUGUUUGGGGGUGGGGCUACUUAUGCUCUCCUCUCAGAUAUACAAGAAAUCCCCCAGAAAAUUUAUAUUUAUCACAACUUUUCAUCAGCUUUCAUAGCCUUCCCAGAUACAGAUUAUAUUCACAAGACAGAACAAUUAUUUUCCUGCUUCCAGAGCAAUUACACUCCAACAAAGGAAGAUUUCAGGAGAGAAAAACAAUCGCUUUUAAUGGGCAAUGAAUGGGAUUAUCACAUGCUAAUAUAAAUGCCAAGACUACAAACUCUUAAUUUAUCACUAAUACUAGAAUGUCUUUAUUCUAUACAUGACACGUAGGUUUAACGUAAUACUAUAGCAGUAGGUGACAUUCUGUACUUAUGAUGCACCGACAUGGACACUUAUGCCUGAACAAUACGAGUCGAACAUGUUGACACACGAUUGUUCAAAAAAGUACCAAUAGGACACGUCACCGACGCAUUGAUUGAAUUCUUUAAAAUUCUUCAUUUAUAUAAUAUAAAUUUACUUUUACACUUAAACUUGUUAUUAACUUUUAUUGUUUAAAUCCUUUAAAUAUAGUAUAUAUUUGUUAUUUACUAAUAAUUUUGAAUUAAAAUAUAUAAUAUUUUUAAUAAAAAAGAAAAAUAUUUAAUAAGAGUGUCCGAGAAGUGUCGACGAGAAGUAUCGAUAUCGACACGUAUUCGAUACAGACACACUACCCUAAUUGAAGCGUCUGUGCUACAGAGAUUUGUACAAAUGCAUAUAACCAGCAAAUAAUAUUAAUUGCAAGUCUAAAAACAAGAUCAAGGAACAAAACAUGUAAGUUUCUUGUUUCAAUUAACCUUCCUACAGAAAAAGAAAAUCACAAUAGGGGAAAUGCAAAUUGAAUUAAAUAACGAGUAAACGCUCAAACAAUAUGAAAAAAUUGAAAACAAACAAUAUUUACCAUCCAUAAUGUUAUCAGUAAACCUCUUCUUGCAUUUGCAGACGAGAUAAUUAUCUUCACGUAGAACAAAGCUCAGAUUUGAACAUAAUGAUGAACUUCAUGGAGUAUAAAAAUGUCGUGUGAAAUUUUUCCAUCAAGAAAAUUUCUAGUAAUCUAGUAUGGAGCACUCAUAUUCCUUGCGACAUGUAUUAAAUAGGAGGGUACACACCAAUCAAUUGGGACCCAAACAUGGAUACGUGAUAUGCGUGUCAAUUAAAUAGUGGCAUGAAAACUAUACUCCAUACUUGGGGAGUACUAGAAUUGUUUAUGUUCAGAACUCAACAGUUACACCUACUUGUUCAACACUAUACUUCAAUUAUGCCCUUCUAAAAGGAACAUCAGCUCUAACAAUUCCGCCGCCGUCUACCAAAACAAUUGGAAAUGUUUCAAAAAAAGUAGGCAUACGAUGUACAAAAAGUUCACGCCAAGGAUAAAAUUGGUUCUAUCACAGCAGCCAAAGCAUAUCCCAGGAGAGAAUCAAUCAGAUAGCCAAUGAAAGAGAGUAAAGUGCCAGCCCAGCUCCUUCAAUAUGUGUCCAGCAUUGCCUGGCUUUUUCAUGUCCAACCAUGCACCCCACACAGCCCGUGCAUGCCAUACAUAACUAAUGGCCAAAACAUAUCCGGCCAUUGUCCAGUGACCAAAAAUUUGGAUGCUGGGGCACUUGGGACGGGUUGGAUUUUUUCUCCUUUUUUCAUACUACAGUAUAUCAUUGGCCAAAAUUGGAUACAAAAUGUAUAUGAUAAGUUUAUUGGAUUAUGGAAUUUUUAUUGUACUUGCAUUUGAGUCCUGUUUUUCUUAAUCUGUUUCUAAAAGAAACC